GAUGAACGCUGGCGGCGUGCCUAAUACAUGCAAGUCGAACGAACAGACGAUGAUCUUGCUCCUUUCACGUUAGCGGCAGACGGGUGUGUAACGCGUGUAUCACCUACCUGUAAGACUGGUAUCACUUCGGGAAUCCGGCUCUUAUCCCGUAUGAUAUAUUGCACCGCAUGGUUCAAUAGUAAAAGACGGCUUUGCUGUCACUUCUAGAUGGAUCCGCGCCGGUUGGGCGAGUUGUUAAGGUAACGGCUUACCAAGGCAACGAUGCGUAGCCGACGGGAGAGGGUGGUAGCCCACAUGGGAAGUGAAACACGGUCCAGAGGACUAAGGUAGGCAGCAGUAGGGAAUCGUACGCAAUAGGCGAAAGCCUGACGGAGCAACGGCGCGUGAGUGAUGAAGGUCUUCGGAUCGUAAAAACGUGUUAUUAGGGGAGAACAAAUGUGUAAGGAACUAUGCACGUCGUGACGGUACCUAAUCAGAAAGCACCGGCUAACUACGUG
Molecule: ribosomal RNA, 497 nt
Filed under: uncultured bacterium
Lineage: Bacteria
Description: partial 16S ribosomal RNA
Rfam family: Bacterial small subunit ribosomal RNA
Source: RNAcentral